GCCAGGCAUGGUGGCGCAUGCCUGUAGUCCCAGCUACUUGGGAGGCUGAGGCAGGAGAAUCACUUGAACCCGGGAGGCAGAGGUUGCAAUGAGCCGAGAUCAUACCACUGCACUCCAGCCUGGGUGACAGAGCGAGACUCUGUCUCAA
Molecule: unclassified non-coding RNA, 148 nt
Organism: Papio anubis (olive baboon)
Lineage: Eukaryota; Metazoa; Chordata; Mammalia; Primates; Cercopithecidae
Rfam family: Metazoan signal recognition particle RNA
About the family: The signal recognition particle (SRP) is a universally conserved ribonucleoprotein. It is involved in the co-translational targeting of proteins to membranes.
Source: Ensembl